RNAcentral lists this ribosomal RNA (484 nucleotides) under uncultured bacterium. RNAcentral's name for it is "partial 16S ribosomal RNA". It matches the Rfam family "Bacterial small subunit ribosomal RNA", at positions 30 to 507 of the family's 1533-position model. The record is from RNAcentral.
AUUGAACGCUGGCGGCGGGCCUAACACAUGCAAGUCGAGCGGAUGAAGGGAGCUUGCUCCUGGAUUCAGCGGCGGACGGGUGAGUAAUGCCUAGGAAUCUGCCUGGUAGUGGGGGAUAACGUCCGGAAACGGGCGCUAAUAUCGCAUACGUCCUGAGGGAGAAAGUGGGGGAUCUUCGGACCUCACGCUAUCAGAUGAGCCUAGGUCGGAUUAGCUAGUUGGUGGGGUAAAGGCCUACCAAGGCGACGAUCCGUAACUGGUCUGAGAGGAUGAUCAGUCACACUGGAACUGAGACACGGUCCAGACUCCUACGGGAGGCAGCAGUGGGGAAUAUUGGACAAUGGGCGAAAGCCUGAUCCAGCCAUGCCGCGUGUGUGAAGAAGGUCUUCGGAUUGUAAAGCACUUUAAGUUGGGAGGAAGGGCAGUAAGUUAAUACCUUGCUGUUUUGACGUUACCAACAGAAUAAGCACCGGCUAACUUCGUG